RNAcentral lists this ribosomal RNA (527 nucleotides) under uncultured bacterium. Its description in RNAcentral is "bacterial SSU rRNA". It matches the Rfam family "Bacterial small subunit ribosomal RNA", at positions 355 to 873 of the family's 1533-position model. The record is from RNAcentral.
UGGGGAAUUGUUCACAAUGGGCGCAAGCCUGAUGACGCAACGCCGCGUGGAGGAUGAAGGUCUUCGGAUUGUAAACUCCUGUUGCUCGGGAAGAAAAGCUUCGACCUAACACGUCGAAGUCUGACGGUACCGGGUGAGGAAGCCCCGGCUAACUCUGUGCCAGCAGCCGCGGUAAUACAGAGGGGGCAAGCGUUGUUCGGAAUUACUGGGCGUAAAGGGCGCGUAGGCGGGCCUGUUAAGUCGAACGUGAAAUCCCCGGGCUCAACCCGGGAACUGCGUCCGAUACUGGCAGGCUUGAAUUCGGGAGAGGGAUGUGGAAUUCCAGGUGUAGCGGUGAAAUGCGUAGAUAUCUGGAGGAACACCGGUGGCGAAGGCGGCAUCCUGGACCGAUAUUGACGCUGAUGCGCGAAAGCCAGGGGAGCAAACGGGAUUAGAUACCCCGGUAGUCCUGGCCCUAAACGAUGAAUGCUUGGUGUGGCGGGUAUCGAUCCCUGCCGUGCCGAAGCUAACGCAUUAAGCAUUCCGCC